UACAUGGGGUGCAAACGUUGCUCGGAAUUAUUGGGCGUAAAGCGCACGUAGGCGGUUCGUUAAGUCGGAUGUGAAAGCCCUCGGCUCAACUGAGGAAGUGCACCCGAAACUGGCGAGCUUGAGUACGAAAGAGGAUCGCGGAAUCCCCGGUGUAGAGGUGAAAUUCGUAGAUAUCGGGAGGAACACCGGUGGCGAAGGCGGGCACUCUGGGCCGAUACUGACGCUGAGGUGCGAAAGCGUGGGGAGCAACAGG
RNAcentral lists this ribosomal RNA (253 nucleotides) under uncultured bacterium. RNAcentral describes it as "partial 16S ribosomal RNA". It matches the Rfam family "Bacterial small subunit ribosomal RNA", at positions 524 to 775 of the family's 1533-position model. The record is from RNAcentral.